GUAAAGCCGUUUCUAUAUAACAAAAGCCAUCAGCAACACAGAACUUUCCUUUAAGUCUGUUUUCCUUGAAGUCUAUUUUCAUGAGCACGAGGAUGUAAAAAUUGCCUGCCCACGAGCAUACUGUGGAAAUGUGGAAUUUUCACCUUGACCGGCCCAGAGUCUCAGUGACAUCAAUCAGAUCAUGUCCCUUCGCAGCUCCAAACCCUCCAGCAGCGUCCCAAACCACACUUAGAGUAAGACCCUCCCCUUGGACCCUAUGUGAUCGGGUCUCUUGCCACCCCUCCCGCCUAAUUUCCCCUAUUCCCCCUGCUUAGUCUGCUCCGGCUGCAGUGAUUUCCCUGCCGCUCCUCGCCCAGCCCUUACCAUGCAUUCAUUCAUUCACCAAACAAACAUUGCUGGGCACCUCUGAUGCCCUGGGCCCUUUUCCAGGUGCUGGGGAUGUGGCAGACAGCUGAACAAAUUAGCAGACAUCACUGUCCUAUUUGGACAUACAUCCCAGUAGGGGGGUGAAGUAGAUAAUCAACAAAAUGGAUACAUCCCUUAUAGAGGGUAUUAGCAAGUGAUGAGAGCUAGGGAGAAAAAUGAAGCUGGGAAGAGGACAUAUGGAGGGGGUGCCAUUUUCAAUACAAUGGUCAGGGAAGGUCUCCCUGAGAAAGUGACCCCUGAGCAAAGACUUGGAGAACAGUACAAGGAAGGAGAGAGGUUAGAGACAGGCAGCCAUCUGAACAACUCUUCCCAAGAGUUUUGUUGGGUAAAGUGGAAUGGAGGGAAAAGUGCCACUAAGAGAGAGUUUAAAAAAAAAAAUUUUUUUUUUAAUACGGGAAAUGGUACUGCCUGUUUCUAUGCAGAUGUGAAUGAGGUAGUGGCCAGGGAAAGGAGAAUUGCUAAUAUAGGAGAGAGAGAGGAGGAUUUGGGGAGUGGCAUGCCUGAGAAGCAAAGGGGGGCUGGGCUCCCCUGCACAUUUCUUCCAUGGUAAUAAAGAGCAAGGAUUUGGGCAAUAAUCUGAUGGGUAAGUAUGUAAGGUGUUCUCAUCUUGGAGUGGUAGGUAGCUCUUCUGAUUAAUUUCCUCAGCGGGAUAGGAGGUAAAGAGAGUUAGCUGAGAGUGAGGCCAGGGAGUUGUUGCUGGGAACUGGCCGUCUAGGGGAAUGAGACAGUGAAUGGGCUGGAGAAGCAUUUGUAAUGGAAGCAUGAAGCUUCCUCUGUGCUCCCCACCCCAGAUCCUGGGCCUGAAUUGCUACGAGGCCAGCCAGCAUGGGGCAUGUGUCUCUCCAGAGGAGGUUCAGCUGCACGGAUGUGGGUGUGGAGUAGGUGGAGAGUUGGGUCUAACCAGGGCUGGCUUUUGCCAAGUGAGUGCAACGUAUCUAGAGUGGGCAAGAGAGUUGCGGUCUGUCUGCCUAGAACCUGCUCCCCAGAUGUCCCCGUGACUCCUUCACUUACAGUCCUCAGGUCUCCACUCAACACUUACUCCCCUGGGAGUCUGGAUGCCCCCCUAUCCAUCCCCAUCCCUACCUGCCACCGCAGUGAACGGCUAUCUCCUCAUCAGGAUGCCAACUUCACAAGGCCACAGGUCUUUGCAUAUUAUGUUCAUCGCUAUAUCCCAGGAACCUAGAACAGUGCCUGGCACUGUUCCCCAAAUGCUUGAUGGAGAAACAGAGGCUCACAGAGGUUAAGUAAAUUGCCCAAGGACGCACAGCUGAAAGGAAGGACUUCCCUGGUGGCGCAAUGGUUAACAAUCUGCCUGCCAAUGCAGGGGACACGGGUUCAAUCCCUGGUCCUGGAAGAUCCCACAUGCUGUGGAGCAACUAAGCCUGUGCGCCACAACUACUGAGCCUGCGCUCUAGAG
This is a long non-coding RNA of Orcinus orca (killer whale), 1843 nucleotides long. RefSeq lists it as uncharacterized. The transcript has 3 exons. NCBI's taxonomy places the organism in Eukaryota, Metazoa, Chordata, Mammalia, Artiodactyla, Delphinidae. The record is from RefSeq and is a predicted model, not a curated record.